GGAUGUGAGGGCAAUCUGACUGUGACAUCUGUCACCCCACUGAUCGCCAGGGUUGAUUUGGCUGAUCUAACUGGCUAGGCAGGUGUCCCCUUCCUCCUUCAAUGCUCCAUGCGCGUCCCUUCCGAAGCUGCACCCUCGGAGAAGAGGACGACCAACUCCAAUAGAGGAGUACCAUGCCUUGGUCAAGGGUAUGAGAGUAGCUGCGCUCCUCUGCUACAGCCUGCAAACAAGCUCUUGAGAUUAGUACCCUCAUGAGCCAAUAGAGUGCUCAGACAUUACUGCAUUAGGUUUCAAGGUUUCAGUGCAUAGCUUUUCGGGGGACACUU
This 326-nucleotide small nuclear RNA is filed under the name Chinchilla lanigera (long-tailed chinchilla). Its description in RNAcentral is "7SK RNA (ENSCLAG00000021549.1)". It matches the Rfam family "7SK RNA". Rfam says of the family: 7SK was discovered as an abundant small nuclear RNA in the mid-70s but a possible function has only recently been suggested. Two independent studies have found that 7SK RNA binds the CDK9/cyclin T complex (known as elongation factor P-TEFb). The record is from Rfam by way of RNAcentral. Lineage: Eukaryota; Metazoa; Chordata; Mammalia; Rodentia; Chinchillidae.